Molecule: ribosomal RNA, 1522 nt
Filed under: Salmonella enterica subsp. enterica serovar Abortusovis str. SS44
Lineage: Bacteria; Pseudomonadati; Pseudomonadota; Gammaproteobacteria; Enterobacterales; Enterobacteriaceae
Description: bacterial SSU rRNA
Rfam family: Bacterial small subunit ribosomal RNA
Source: RNAcentral
AGAGUUUGAUCAUGGCUCAGAUUGAACGCUGGCGGCAGGCCUAACACAUGCAAGUCGAACGGUAACAGGAAGCAGCUUGCUGCUUUGCUGACGAGUGGCGGACGGGUGAGUAAUGUCUGGGAAACUGCCUGAUGGAGGGGGAUAACUACUGGAAACGGUGGCUAAUACCGCAUAACGUCGCAAGACCAAAGAGGGGGACCUUCGGGCCUCUUGCCAUCAGAUGUGCCCAGAUGGGAUUAGUUUGUUGGUGAGGUAACGGCUCACCAAGGCGACGAUCCCUAGCUGGUCUGAGAGGAUGACCAGCCACACUGGAACUGAGACACGGUCCAGACUCCUACGGGAGGCAGCAGUGGGGAAUAUUGCACAAUGGGCGCAAGCCUGAUGCAGCCAUGCCGCGUGUAUGAAGAAGGCCUUCGGGUUGUAAAGUACUUUCAGCGGGGAGGAAGGUGUUGUGGUUAAUAACCACAGCAAUUGACGUUACCCGCAGAAGAAGCACCGGCUAACUCCGUGCCAGCAGCCGCGGUAAUACGGAGGGUGCAAGCGUUAAUCGGAAUUACUGGGCGUAAAGCGCACGCAGGCGGUCUGUCAAGUCGGAUGUGAAAUCCCCGGGCUCAACCUGGGAACUGCAUUCGAAACUGGCAGGCUUGAGUCUUGUAGAGGGGGGUGGAAUUCCAGGUGUAGCGGUGAAAUGCGUAGAGAUCUGGAGGAAUACCGGUGGCGAAGGCGGCCCCCUGGACAAAGACUGACGCUCAGGUGCGAAAGCGUGGGGAGCAAACAGGAUUAGAUACCCUGGUAGUCCACGCCGUAAACGAUGUCUACUUGGAGGUUGUGCCCUUGAGGCGUGGCUUCCGGAGCUAACGCGUUAAGUAGACCGCCUGGGGAGUACGGCCGCAAGGUUAAAACUCAAAUGAAUUGACGGGGGCCCGCACAAGCGGUGGAGCAUGUGGUUUAAUUCGAUGCAACGCGAAGAACCUUACCUGGUCUUGACAUCCACGGAAGUUUUCAGAGAUGAGAAUGUGCCUUCGGGAACCGUGAGACAGGUGCUGCAUGGCUGUCGUCAGCUCGUGUUGUGAAAUGUUGGGUUAAGUCCCGCAACGAGCGCAACCCUUAUCCUUUGUUGCCAGCGGUCCGGCCGGGAACUCAAAGGAGACUGCCAGUGAUAAACUGGAGGAAGGUGGGGAUGACGUCAAGUCAUCAUGGCCCUUACGACCAGGGCUACACACGUGCUACAAUGGCGCAUACAAAGAGAAGCGACCUCGCGAGAGCAAGCGGACCUCAUAAAGUGCGUCGUAGUCCGGAUUGGAGUCUGCAACUCGACUCCAUGAAGUCGGAAUCGCUAGUAAUCGUGGAUCAGAAUGCCACGGUGAAUACGUUCCCGGGUCUUGUACACACCGCCCGUCACACCAUGGGAGUGGGUUGCAAAAGAAGUAGGUAGCUUAACCUUCGGGAGGGCGCUUACCACUUUGUGAUUCAUGACUGGGGUGAAGUCGUAACAAGGUAACCGUAGGGGAACCUGCGGUUG